Molecule: small RNA, 289 nt
Filed under: Histoplasma capsulatum
Lineage: Eukaryota; Fungi; Ascomycota; Eurotiomycetes; Onygenales; Ajellomycetaceae
Also listed under: 1 other name
Description: hypothetical RNA
Source: RNAcentral
AGGCCGCUUCAAUAGCUUUGGUCAUUUCGGCACUACGACUUUCGCAAUUUCCCUUGGAGGUCGGAUCAUUGUGGCUGCACUUGUUUGAUGGUUGCGAUGGAGGUGUAUGUGAGGAAGACAGGGCCACUACGGGAGUAGUGCCCGCCCAAUUCUCAACUCUUUGGCCAGCGCCUCCUCUGGUCCCAAUACUGCACUAGUGGCAGACAACCCUGAUUACAUAUAGGAUCCGCGCCGUCGCGAGAUUGGAUUGGAUGUCAACACUGUAGUGGCUUUUACGUUUUUGCUGGGA